CGGACGGGUGAGUAACACGUGGAUAACCUACCUAUAAGACUGGGAUAACUUCGGGAAACCGGAGCUAAUACCGGAUAAUAUAUUGAACCGCAUGGUUCAAUAGUGAAAGACGGUUUUGCUGUCACUUAUAGAUGGAUCCGCGCCGCAUUAGCUAGUUGGUAAGGUAACGGCUUACCAAGGCAACGAUGCGUAGCCGACCUGAGAGGGUGAUCGGCACACUGGAACUGAGACACGGUCCAG
RNAcentral lists this ribosomal RNA (240 nucleotides) under uncultured Staphylococcus sp. RNAcentral's name for it is "partial 16S ribosomal RNA". It matches the Rfam family "Bacterial small subunit ribosomal RNA", at positions 99 to 334 of the family's 1533-position model. Lineage: Bacteria; Bacillati; Bacillota; Bacilli; Caryophanales; Staphylococcaceae. The record is from RNAcentral.